RNAcentral lists this ribosomal RNA (253 nucleotides) under uncultured bacterium. Its description in RNAcentral is "partial 16S ribosomal RNA". It matches the Rfam family "Bacterial small subunit ribosomal RNA", at positions 524 to 776 of the family's 1533-position model. The record is from RNAcentral.
UACAGAGGGGGCAAGCGUUGUUCGGAAUUACUGGGCGUAAAGGGCGCGUAGGCGGCCUUCUAAGUCGAACGUGAAAUCCCUGGGCUCAACCCAGGAACUGCGUCCGAGACUGGGAGGCUAGAAUCCGGGAGAGGGAUGUGGAAUUCCAGGUGUAGCGGUGAAAUGCGUAGAUAUCUGGAGGAACCCCAGAGGCGAAGGCGGCGCUCUGGCUCGCAACUGACGCUCAGACACGACAGCAUGGGGAGCGAACGGG